CUCUGAGUGCAAUAUCAGGUCUUACUGUCCCUGCCCAGCCUCCCCUGAGGCCUUCCCCACUACUACGUAUGGACACAGGAGCUCAUCUCUGCUCAGCCUGGUCCCUGUAGGAGCCUGGGCUCAACCCCUGGACCUGGACCUUGGACCCAGGCUGCAGCCAUGUCCCCAGCCCUAUCUCUGUCACCAUCUCGUGCUGCUGGAGACCCUGGCCCUGAAAUCUCACCACCAAUAUGUUACUGUUGAAUUUCAAUCAACAUCUUUUUCGUCUUACUUUGCAGAAUUUUGGCAUCCCAGAGAUUCAGUCAGCCCUACCUUGCAAGGAAAAAAAAAAAUGUUUUUUCCACAGCAGUAGAGAUCUCAUUGCAGUACAGGUCAGUCAAACUCUGGAUGGACAUCCUCCCUCAAUCUUCAGUCUGUUAAACAGGUCAGUUAAACAGAUUGUGACACUGAAGAUGAGGAAAUACAUGCCUCUGGUCAAAUGUAUAGGAGUGCGAAAAUCUGUAAGGUUGAUCUGUUUGCUUUCAGCUGCAUGGUGUUCUUUGCAGUACAAUUGUGGCUCGGGGUAA
RNAcentral lists this long non-coding RNA (566 nucleotides) under Anas platyrhynchos platyrhynchos (common mallard). RNAcentral's name for it is "lncRNA (ENSAPLG00000025106.1)". The record is from RNAcentral. Lineage: Eukaryota; Metazoa; Chordata; Aves; Anseriformes; Anatidae.